RNAcentral lists this long non-coding RNA (4810 nucleotides) under Sus scrofa (pig). RNAcentral describes it as "lncRNA (ENSSSCG00060065596.1)". Lineage: Eukaryota; Metazoa; Chordata; Mammalia; Artiodactyla; Suidae. The record is from RNAcentral.
UCCUUAGAUGAAAUGGAUAAAUUAUUAGAAAGAUAUAACCUGCCAAGACCGAAACAGGAAGAAAUAGACUAUAUGAACAGACCAAUCACAAGUACUGAAGUUGAAACUCUAAUUGAGGAGUUCCCACUGUGGCACAGUGGGUNGGGAAAAAAACCAAAACAAAACAAAAACAAAAAAAAAAACAAGUACUGAAGUUGAAACUCUAAUUGAGGAGUUCCCACUGUGGCACAGUGGGUUAAGGAUCUGGCAUUGCCAUAGCUGUGGCAUAGGUCACAGCUGCAGCUUGGAUUCAGUCCUUGGCCCAGGAACUUCCAUAUGCCAUAGAUGUAGCCAAACAAGAAAAAGAAACUGAUUGAAAAACUUCCAACAAAUAAAAGUCCAGGACCAAAUGGCUUUUGCAGGUAAAUUCUAUCAAACACUUAGAGAAAAGUUAACACCUGUCCUGAAACUCUUCCAAAAUCUCCUCCAAAAAUCACAGAGGAAGGAAUACUCCCAAACUCAUCCUAUGAAGCCACCAUUACCCUUAUACCAAAACCAGGUAAAGAUACAACAAAAAAAAAAAAUUACAGGCCAAUAUCACUGAUGAACAUAGACACAAAAAUUCUCAACAAAAUAAUUGCAACCUGAGUCCAAUAAUACAUUAAAAGGAUCAUACAACAUGAUCAAGUGGGAUUUAUCCCAGAGAUGCAAGGAUUCUUCUGUAUCCACAAAUCAAUGUGAUAUAUCACAUUAACAAGUUAAAGAGUAAAACGCAUAUACAUGAUCAUCUCAAUAAAUGUAGGAAAGCUUUUGACAAAAUCCAACACCCAUUUCUGAUUAAAAAAAAAAAAAAACCCUUGAGAAAGUGGGCAUAGAGGGAACCUACCUCAGCAUAAUAGAGGCCAUUUAUGACAAAUCCACAGCUAACAUCAUUCUCAAUGGUGAAAAACUGAAAGCACUUCCUCUAAGAUCAGGAAUAAGACAAGGAUGUCCACCCUUGCCACUUUUAUUCAACAGUUUUGGAAUUCCUAGCCAUGGCAAUCAGAAAAGAAAUAAAAAUAACCCAAAUUGGAAAAGAAGUAAAAUUGUCACUGUUUGCAGAUACUAUACAUAGAAAAUCCUAAGAUGCUAUUAGAAAACUUUAAGAGCUCAUAAGUGAAUUUGGUAAAAUUGCAGGAUACAAGGUGGAUAUACAGAAAUCUUUUGCAUUCCUAUACACUAACAAUGAAAUAUCAGAAAGAGAAGGAAACAAUCCCAUUUACCAUUACAUCAAAAAGAAUAAAUUACCUAGGAAUAAACCUACCUAAGGAGGCAAAUGACAUGUACUCUGAAAACUGUUAAGACACUGAUGAAAGAAAUCAAAGAUGACACAAAAAAAUGGAAAUAUAUAUCAUGACGGAGUUCCCGUCAUGGCUCAGUGGUUAACGAAUCUGACUAGGAACCAUGAGGUUGCAGGUUUGAUCCCUGGCCUUGCUCAGUGGGUUAAGGAUCUGGCGUUGCCAUGAGCUGUGGUGUAGGUUGCAGACAUGGCUCGGAUCCCAUGUUGCUGUGGCUCUGGAGUAGGCCAGUGGCUACAGCUCCGAUUUGACCCCUAGCCUGGGAACCUCCGUAUGCCGUGGGAGCACAGUGACAGUGCCAGAUCAUUAACUAAGCCACCAGAGAAUCUUUUUCUUUUCUUUUUUUUUUUUUAACAACAGGAAGAAGAUAUUUGACUUCACCACUGGUGUUCAACAUUGUACUGGAAGUCCUAGCCAGAGAAAUUAGCCAAGAAAAAUAAAAGGCAUCCAAAUUAUAAAGGAAGAAUUAAAACUAUCUCUACAGAUGACAUGAUUCUAUAUAUAGAAAAUCCUAAAAUAUCCACAGAAAAAUCUAGAGCAAUAAAUUAAGUAAAAUUACAGGACAUAGGACCAGCACACAAAAAUUAGUUAUAAUUAAUAAUCCAAAAAUGAACUUUAAAAAUCCUAUUUAUAAUAGCAUCCAAAACAAUAACAUACAUAGGAAUAAAUUUAACCUCUAAAUAGAGGGAAAGAUUUGUAUACUGAAAACUAUAAAACAUUGCGAACAAUAUUAAAACCACAAUUAAAUGGAAAGACAUUCCAGUUUUGAUUGGAAAACGCAAUAGUGUCAUAUUAGUGUACUAGGUUUGCCAUAACAAAAUACUGCAGAUUGGAUGGCUUAAACAACAGAAAGUUAUUUCUCAUAGUUCUGGAAACUGGGUAAUCAAGAUCAAGGUGUCGGCAGAUGAGAGGCUUUCUCCUUGACCUGCAGAUGGCCAUUUUCUUGCUGUGCCCUCACAUGGCCUUUUCUCUGCAUGUGCAUAUUCCUGGUAUUUCUUCCUCUUCAUAAAGAACACAGCUCCUACUAAGAGUCCCAUUCUUAAGGCAUCAUUUAACCUUAAUUGACUCCUUUAGAAUGCUAUCUCUAAAUAUAUUCACACUGUGCGUCAGGGCUUCAACAUAAGAGUUGUUGGGACACAAUUCAGUCCAUAACAACUGGUAAGAUGGCAGUAGUCUGAAAAGCAAUCUAUAGAUUCAAUGCAAUCUCCAUCAGAAUUCUAAUAGUCCUUUUUUUUUUUUUACUUUUGCAGAUUGCAAAACCCGACCCUCAAAUUCAUAUGAAAUUUCAAGGGGCCCAAAUAAUCAAAACAACAUUGAAAAAGGAAAACAAAGUUUGAAGACUCAAACACCCCAAUUUGAUCCAUGAGGACACAGGUUUGAUCCCUGGCCUUGCUCAGUGGGUUAGGGAUCUGGCGUUGCCAUGAGCUGUGUUGUAGGUCACAGACAUGGCUCAGAUCUGGCCUUGCUGUGGUGUAGGCCACUGGCUACAGCUGAUUCAACCCAUAGCCAGGGGACUUCCAUAUGCCACGGGUGUGGCAUGGGUUUGAUCCCUAGCUCUGGUAUCAAAAUGCUGCAGGUAUGGCAAAAAACCCCCAAACAGCUAAGUAAGUGAAGAGACAUAUUGUGCUUAUGGAUUGGUAAAAAUUUCAAUUUUUUCCCAAAUGAUAUAAAAGUAUGUAAUGCAAUUCUAUCAAAAUCUAAGCAGGACUUUUGAAAAAACAGGCUGACUCAAAGUUAUAUGUAAACAAAGGAAUUAGGAUAAAGCAAUUUUGAGAAAGAAGGAUAAAGGGAGAAGUCACCAUGUAGCUACCGUAAUGAAGACAGUGAGGUGUUAGUAGAGGGAGAGAUACAUGAGUCAGUGGAACAGAACAGAGUUCAGAAACAGACUCACAUGAGUAGGCCACUUGAUCUUUUACAAAAGUACAAAACAACUAAAUAGAGAAAUGAUAAAUUUAACAAAUAGUGUUGAAAAAAUUAGACAUCAUAGGUUUAAAAAAAAAGAAAAAUGAACCUUGACUUAAAUCUUAGACUAGGUAAUAGCCAUAUUAAACUUUAAAAUGUGCAUCCAGGAGUUCCCGUCGUGGCUCAAUGGUUAACGAAUCUGACUAGGAACCCUGAGUUUGUGCGUUCGAUCCCUGGCCUUGCUCAGUGGGUUAAGGAUCUGGCAUUGCCGUGAGCUGUGGUGUAGGUUGCAGACGCGGCUCGGAUCCCACGUUGCUGUAGCUCUGGUGUAGGCCAGCGGCUUCAGGUCCGAUUCGACCCCUAGCCUGGGAACAUCCAUAUACCAUGGGAGCGGCCCAAGAAAUGGCAAAAAGACAAAAAACAAAACAAAACAAAACAAACAACAACAAAAAAACCCACUUAAAAUGUGCAUCCAGAAACUUACUUUUUUUUCUUUUUUGGCUGCCCUGCAGCAUAUGGAGUUCCUGGGCCAAGGAUCAGAUUCAAGCCAUAGUUGUAGUAAUGCAGAAUUCUUAAUCCACUGUAUUGGGCUGGGGAUUGAACCUGUGUCCCAGCGCUCCAAGAUGCCCUGGCACCACAGCAGGAACUCCAAUAUAUUUAUAAUGCAAAUAUUUGACAAAUGAUUUGUAACCGGAAUAUAUUAUAACACUAAAAAUAAGAAAAAUUUAAUUACCCAUUAGGGCUACAUCCAGUGGCAGUAAGGUAAGUUUGUCUCUGCUUCACCAACAGGGUAGUGUCAAGUUGGAUGAACUUCCACGCUGGCUCAAAAGCAAUGAGGUAGAAUUAGGUGGUUCCCAGGCAGUGUUGUUCACCAAUCAGCUUUGUACCUUCCUCCAUGUUAUCAGGACCCAAUGCUGAACUUCCAACGCUACUCAACAAACUGUAGCAACUGGGUGGUGCUAGCUGAUGCUCUGUUUUCCCUCCUUCAUCCUCCCCACCUGUUCUAACUAGGCUGAAUAGAGAGCUUAACUUUCAUGCCCAUCCAGUGAAAAUGAGGUGGGUGUCAGUGCUCUACUUUUGCUUGAGUGGAAUCUGUGGAGCUCAUUAGGGUGCAGAAUAUCCACUCCAACCUGGAUUUCCUAGCUACACCUACAAAGGGUGACUGCCUACAAAAUAGAAGGAUAAAGAGGACCUAUUCUGUUGAUACCCAAAAUGUCCAGAAUAGAACUAAAAAUCCUUCAUCAUAUGAAACAAGAAAAUCUCAAGCUGAAUGGAAAAACAAGACAUAUCAACACCAUGAUGACUAAUUUAUCUGACAAAUUCAAAACAGUAAUCUUAGAAAUUCUUCAGUGAUGGAGUUCCCAUCAUGGCUCAGUAGUUAACGAAUCCAACUAGGAACCAUGAGGUUGUGGGUUCGAUCCCUGGCCUCACUCAGUGGGUUAAGGAUCUGGCAUUGCCGUGAGAUGUGGUGUAGGUCACACAUUGCUGUGGCUCUGGCGUAGGCCAGCAGCUACAGCUCAGAUUACACCCCUAGCCUGGAAACCUCCAUAUGUCGUGGGUGCGGCCCUAGAAAAAGACAAAAAAAAAAAAAA